GGGUGGAUGACUUGAAGGUGUGAUGUCAAACCGUGAAGCCAGGACCCAAGUGGAGAGAAGACAUUGAUCCAAAUUGCUUUUGGAGGCCAGAGUUUCUACAGCUGGAGUUACAGGCAGUUGUGAGCUGCCUGAUAUGGGUGCUGGAAAUCCAACCUGGGCCCUCUGCAAGAGCACUGAGUAGUCUCAGCCAAGGAAUAACCUCUUUAGACCCCCCUGCAGGAUUCAGUUGCUGUUUCCCAUUUGAGCAGAAGACUGUGAUCUACUCAGGGCUUGUGAGACAUCUCAGUGAGGAGAAGGGCUUGCCAAGCUUGAAGAUUCAAGCUCAGUCCCUGGAGCUUGCAUGGUGGAAGGAGAGAACCAACUUCCAGAAGUGUCACCUGGGAUUGACAGCUCAGCCUGAACUCUACCUUCUGAACGCCGUGGAUGCUAACUCAUUUGUGUCUAGAUGAUGAACAGCCCGAGAGACUUUAAGAAUGCUUUUCCUCAGCCCUUUUGUGCCAAGUGUCUGUUAGCCAAUCUCAGUUAGUUCAGAGGUGAACUUGUUGAGAUGUUUUGAACAAAGGCAGAGAUUUCCUCGUGAGAUCCAGGGUAAAGGCUAAGAGCUGUGCAUGGGUCCUAGCCCCGCUAACCUCCAGCAGUCAGACAGUAGGGAGUGGUAAACAGUGGCAGUGGGCAGCCGUGCUCCCCACCGUGCUCCCCCACAGGCUCGUGCCUGCACUUCUGGGAAUUAAAAAUGUAUGAACAUGUAUUUAUGUAAACCCAAACAUGCCAGUUUGGGUAAGAUUUUAAGGUUAUAAAAACUGAUAGAUUUUUUU
Long non-coding RNA from Alexandromys fortis (reed vole), 815 nucleotides. RefSeq lists it as uncharacterized. The record is from RefSeq and is a predicted model, not a curated record. The transcript has 5 exons. NCBI's taxonomy places the organism in Eukaryota, Metazoa, Chordata, Mammalia, Rodentia, Cricetidae.